GUGAGGAAACUGAGGCAGCACAUGUAUUAAAAUUGGAACGACCCAGAGAAGAUUAGCAUGGUCCCUGCACAAGUGUGACACACAAAGUCGUGAAGCUUUUCAUAUUUUU
Molecule: small nuclear RNA, 109 nt
Organism: Ornithorhynchus anatinus (platypus)
Lineage: Eukaryota; Metazoa; Chordata; Mammalia; Monotremata; Ornithorhynchidae
Source: RefSeq, a predicted model, not a curated record